Molecule: long non-coding RNA, 1324 nt
Filed under: Equus caballus (horse)
Lineage: Eukaryota; Metazoa; Chordata; Mammalia; Perissodactyla; Equidae
Description: lncRNA (ENSECAG00000053675.1)
Source: RNAcentral
GGUUGUUUCACUUCUAGUGCCACCCUCGGCACCUUCUUCUUCAUCUUCUUGAAGCCCGAGGACAUCUCAGGGCAUCAGGACAAGCUUCUCAAGGGGCCAGUUUGGCUCUAAACUCCUGAGACAUUUUAGUUGUAUGAUAUUCACUGUCUGAAAAAGGAAAGAGAAUAAACUCAUCUGGAGAAUCAAAAUGUGUAAUUCCAGAAGGAUGUCAUGGCAGGAAUCCCCCUAUUCACCAUCUAACAGCCCUGAGGACGUCCUACGCUCUGGCUGGGAGAGGGACACGCAGAGGGAAGGGCGCUCUGCUCCCACAGCAUGUAAGGGAUGCCCAGAUGUGCUGGCACUGCUUGGGGAGGGAAUACGAGUGGAGCAACGCUGACGGCAGCCUUCAUGGAGGAGACGCAGCCCCAGAGAGAAAGAGAGGGAGAGAAGGCCAUGGCGGGGUGAUGGGGACACUCUGACCAUGGCGGCGUCCACCGCACUGGAGAUGCUCCUGCAGUGACGUGUCCGUCCGUCCGUCUGUCAGGGAGGGCUGGCUGACAGCCUGUGCCGUGGAAGCGCUCCUGCCCAUCAGCCACAGGCACCCACUCUGUGGAGAACGACCCUCGGCCUCACCCAGGAACUGGGGUGCCUCCCCCUCGAGCCCCCGCACCCUCCUUCCGUGACCCUUCCAGAGGGUCCUCCGGGACCUGUGGGGGAAAAUGGCGGCUCCAGCAGGUGCAGGAGGCGGGGAGGGGGGUGCCCCUCCCCGGGUGAGGUCCUGGGUGGCGCCUGGCCACUCCCCGCCCCGGGAGCCUAGGCCCAGCACUCACAUGGGCCCCUGUGAUCCCAAGGGGAAGGAGCCACACAUGGCAAGCUCUCCGAGGGGCACCCGGGGCCUGGCCAAGGGGCUCAGAGGCUAUGCAGGGUCUGCAACGAUGGCACCAGUGAGGUCAAAGGGCAGGACUUCUCCAGGGGGCCCCCAACCUAGGGUGAGUAACUGCAAAGCGGAAAGAAACUUCCCCAAACUGCCAGUGAACGCUGCCGCCCGUGGCCUGAGGCUGAGCUGGGGCCCGUCCUCUCCAUCCACGGAGUGGCCCCCGGGCAGAGCGGUGCCAGCCGGGCCUCUGCACUUGACAACCUUCUGCAUCUCGACACACGGCUUUAAAACGCUGGUAAUAUGCUGCCUCUUCUUUCCACAUUCUAAAUGGAUACUCAGAGUCACAGGUCGGUCUGUUGUGGCAAUUUUGUAUAUUUUUCCCAGAGAAAGCACCUCUGAUUGUAUAAGCUCCAGCCCCACAGGCAAGGCCACCUUCUAACUGUCGCCUGGAGGAGGACGCCCCAGGCG